AUCUACCAGGCUGAUUAAGCCACAGCAGAUCAGCAGAAUUCAACUGUCCAGAUAGAAAGGUGGACAUGGAAAAAUUGGGCUUUGCAAAUGGUCACCCAAUUCUUGCCUUCCUGGUCUCCAGAUCACCCUUCCUAUACCGCCACUCUGGAGAAAGAAGUACAGAACGCUAACAAGCUAGAUACAGAGGACCUAACAUACAACUCAGAGUCCCUAGAAGAUGGAGAAAACACAGACAAUUGGCAGAGGAGAUGAGCAUGUGAUUAUUGUUACCACUUGUCUGGAAGCAACCAGAAUGGAGUGGGGAAGACUCAAGGAGGAGAUCUUCACAGGACUCACCUCUCAUCACAGCUCCCGUGUGGUUGUAAUCACCCCAGAGGGAAAAAUAAUUUCGGUUUUUUAUGGUUUAAUUAUUGGUGAUAGCAGCUGUUUUGAAGACACAAACACAGAAGCAAGUUCUAGAACAUACUCACAGUUUCCUUGGUCACAGUGUUGUCAGUGGUUCUAUAAAGGUCUUAUGAAUCUCUACUUAGUUGACCACAAGUAGUAAGCAAGAAACAAUCCUGUAAAGAGAAUGGAGGUCAGAAUAAAGAAGCCUUGAGGGUUUAAAUCGCUUCUUGAAAAGAAAUGCCCGUGUGUCAAGGAGCUAAGGGAGACCAGCCCAGGAGGAGCUGAAUCCUGCCAACAAUCACUUGAGUGAACUUGAGAGUGAAUCCUCUCCAUGUUAAGCCUUGAGGUGAUUGUAGCUCCAUCAAAUACCUUCAUUGUAGCCUUGUGAGAGAUCUGAGUCAGAGGAUGGAGUUAAGCCAAGCCCAGAUUCCAGACCCUCAGAAACUUGAAAGCGGAAUACCUGGUUAUCCGGAGGUCACUGUCUCCACACAGAGUGGUGUCCUUGAUGCUAGCUUGGGGCAAAGAAGCCAGGAGCUAUGGCCAAAGAACAAGCACAUGAAGCAGCCUCCCAACAUCCCAA
RNAcentral lists this long non-coding RNA (967 nucleotides) under Homo sapiens (human). RNAcentral's name for it is "non-protein coding SLC14A2-AS1:3". Lineage: Eukaryota; Metazoa; Chordata; Mammalia; Primates; Hominidae. The record is from RNAcentral.